Molecule: ribosomal RNA, 168 nt
Filed under: Myxodes viridis
Lineage: Eukaryota; Metazoa; Chordata; Actinopteri; Blenniiformes; Clinidae
Description: partial small subunit ribosomal RNA
Source: RNAcentral
ACCGCGGUUAUACGAGAGGCCCAAGUUGACAGACACUCGGCGUAAAGAGUGGUUAGACUCAUAAAUCCACUAAAGCCGAACGCCUUUUUAACUGUUAUACGUUCUUGAAGGCAAGAAGCCCCUCUACGAAAGUAGCUUUACUAACAUUGACCCCACGAAAGCUGUGAA